This 453-nucleotide ribosomal RNA is filed under the name uncultured bacterium. Its description in RNAcentral is "bacterial SSU rRNA". It matches the Rfam family "Bacterial small subunit ribosomal RNA", at positions 340 to 786 of the family's 1533-position model. The record is from RNAcentral.
UACGGAAGGCAGCAGUGGGGAAUAUUGCACAAUGGGCGCAAGCCUGAUGCAGCCAUGCCGCGUGUAUGAAAAAGGCCUUCGGGUUGUAAAGUACUUUCAGUCGUGAGGAAGGUGUUAAGGUUAAUAACCUUAGCAAUUGACGUUAGCGACAGAAGAAGCACCGGCUAACUCCGUGCCAGCAGCCGCGGUAAUACGGAGGGUGCGAGCGUUAAUCGGAAUUACUGGGCGUAAAGGGCACGCAGGCGGUUAAUUAAGUUGGAUGUGAAAUCCCCGGGCUUAACCUGGGAAUGGCAUUCAAGACUGGUUAGCUAGAGUCUUGUAGAGGGGGUAGAAUUCCAUGUGUAGCGGCGAAAUGCGUAGAGAUGUGGAGGAAUACCGGUGGCGAAGGCGGCCCCUGGACAAAGACUGACGCUCAUGUGCGAAAGCGUGGGGAGCAAACAGGGAUUAGAUACC